Molecule: small RNA, 526 nt
Filed under: Histoplasma capsulatum
Lineage: Eukaryota; Fungi; Ascomycota; Eurotiomycetes; Onygenales; Ajellomycetaceae
Also listed under: 1 other name
Description: hypothetical RNA
Source: RNAcentral
ACUAUGACAUCAACUUUGGAACAUCCUACUGAGUUAAAGGUCUAUGUUUUGGCUGCGCCUCUCAUUUUAUGGAUGUGGGAUGCUUAGAGGGGUGCAUGAGUGAGUCUAUUAAGCUAUCAAAGAAUCAGCAUGUUCUGUACUGAGCAUUUCAUGCAUCAUUCUCAUAUCUGAACUCAACAAUGUCUGGAAUUAGCCUAUCUGCAUUUGACUAGGCCCUCUUGAGACCAAGCAGCUAAUCUCACAAUUGAUUGGCAUUCAUCUUUUGAGGACUUUGAAGUGACAGAGGCCGCAGCUAAGAUACCAACACACAGACGUGAGAAUCUAAGAAUAGAUACUCCAAAGCACCAAUAUCUAAUAUGGAAAAAUCAUCUCUGCUGCAAUAACCUUUUAUUUGAGAUAAUGUAUCUAAUAUGGACGGUUUCCGGUCCUGUAUCAUGCAUGCUAUUAUGCUGUAUAUAUGAAUUGUUUCUACAUUAAUAUCAUCAAGAUAAAGCUAGAACUUGAUAAAUCUUUUUAAAUCUUGAGU